AUGGCCUCCAUGGAGCGCACGAUCGCUAGGCAGCGCGCCCGCAUCGCGUCUCUCAAAGACGGCGACGCCAACACGAGUUUUUUCCACCGGCAAUGCUCCUUCCGCCGGCAGAAAAACCGUGUGCACAACCUUGUGGUGGACGGGCAGGUGCUCUCUGGCCACGAGGAGAUGGCAAACGCUGCUUUCAUGCAUUUCGAUGGCUUGCUGGGCACCGCCGUUGACCGGGAACGCACGCUGGACCUUUCCCAGCUCAUCGCCCCAAGUGACCUCGAAUGCCUCGAUGCGCCCUUCUGCCAGGAGGAGAUUUGGGAGGGAGUCAAGCGGAUGCCGGCGCGCAAAGCGCCUGGGCCAGACGGCUUCACCGCGGAGUUCCUGCGCGCUUGCUGGAGCAUCAUCCGGCAGGAUGUCUGGGACGUUUUCGAGCUGCUCUACGCUCUGCGAGGGCGCAGGUUCAGUAAGCUCAACCAAGCGUUGUUGACCCUGCUGCCCAAACGAGCAGAUGCCCACAAGCUCGGCGACUAUCGGCCGAUAUGCCUCAUCCACAUCGUGGCCAAGAUCUUCGCGAAGGUCCUGUCCUUGCGCCUAGCUCCCAAGCUCGACACCCUUGUCAGCCGCAACCAAAACGCGUUCAUCGCCGGGCGGAGUCUUCACGACAACUUCAUUCUCGUCCGGCAAUCCCUCAAGAUGCUGCGUCAACUGGGGCGCCCAGGAUCAUGCUUAAGCUCGACCUCACGCGUGCCUUUGACUCCAUCUCCUGGCCCUUCCUCUUCGAGGUGCUGCGCCAGUAUGGAUUUGGGGACAGAUUCAGAGAGUGGCUGGCCAUUUUGCUGUCCUCGGCGAGCACCCGUGUCAUGCUCAACGGUGUUCCCGGCCCGCCAAUCUGGCAUCGCCGCGGUCUGA
Molecule: ribosomal RNA, 900 nt
Filed under: Triticum aestivum (bread wheat)
Lineage: Eukaryota; Viridiplantae; Streptophyta; Magnoliopsida; Poales; Poaceae
Description: partial small subunit ribosomal RNA
Source: RNAcentral